RNAcentral lists this ribosomal RNA (253 nucleotides) under uncultured bacterium. RNAcentral's name for it is "partial 16S ribosomal RNA". It matches the Rfam family "Bacterial small subunit ribosomal RNA", at positions 524 to 776 of the family's 1533-position model. The record is from RNAcentral.
UACGUAGGGGGCAAGCGUUAUCCGGAUUUACUGGGUGUAAAGGGAGCGUAGACGGCAGAGCAAGUCUGAAGUGAAAGCCCGCGGCCCAACUGCGGGACUGCUUUAGAAACUGCCCGGCUAGAGUGCUGGAGAGGUAAGCGGAAUUCCUAGUGUAGCGGUGAAAUGCGUAGAUAUUAGGAGGAACACCAGUGGCGAAGGCGGCUUACUGGACAGUAACUGACGCUGAGGCUCGAAAGCGUGGGGAGCAAACAGG